CUUAGUACGGCGAGUGAAGCGGUAAAAGCUCAAAUUUGAAAUCUGGUACUUUCAGUGCCCGAGUUGUAAUUUGUAGAAUUUGUCUUUGAUUAGGUCCUUGUCUAUGUUCCUUGGAACAGGACGUCAUAGAGGGUGAGAAUCCCGUUUGGCGAGGAUACCUUUUCUUUGUAAGACUUUUUCGAAGAGUCGAGUUGUUUGGGAAUGCAGCUCAAAGUGGGUGGUAAAUUCCAUCUAAAGCUAAAUAUUGGCGAGAGACCGAUAGCGAACAAGUACAGUGAUGGAAAGAUGAAAAGAACUUUGAAAAGAGAGUGAAAAAGUACGUGAAAUUGUUGAAAGGGAAGGGCAUUUGAUCAGACAUGGUGUUUUUUGCAUGCACUCGCCUCUCGUGGGCUUGGGCCUCUCAAAAAUUUCACUGGGCCAACAUCAAUUCUGGCAGCAGGAUAAAUCAUUAAGAAUGUAGCUACUUCGGUAGUGUUAUAGCUUUUUGGAAUACUGUUAGCCGGGAUUGAGGACUGCGCUUCGGCAAGGAUGUUGGCAUAAUGGUUAAAUGCCGCCCGUCUUGAACCACGGACCA
Molecule: ribosomal RNA, 574 nt
Filed under: Hanseniaspora uvarum
Lineage: Eukaryota; Fungi; Ascomycota; Saccharomycetes; Saccharomycodales; Saccharomycodaceae
Description: eukaryotic LSU rRNA
Rfam family: Eukaryotic large subunit ribosomal RNA
Source: RNAcentral